Molecule: long non-coding RNA, 581 nt
Filed under: Phasianus colchicus (ring-necked pheasant)
Lineage: Eukaryota; Metazoa; Chordata; Aves; Galliformes; Phasianidae
Description: lncRNA (ENSPCLG00000001595.1)
Source: RNAcentral
UGGCCAUUGGGACGCCUGGGGAGACUUGCCAAGCUGCCAAAAUAUUUGGACACCCAAAUGCUAGUGUUCAAACGCAUUUCUCCAUCAGGAUUCUGACUUCAUCCUCCUACUGCAUAUUUCUGCACCAUGUCCUUGCUUUCUGUCCUUGCAUCGUGACGCGUACCGGUGCGGCUUCGUGCCCCAUCGGAGAUGGUUAUCAGCACAAUGAUUUAAUGCCAAGCAAUGCAAGCAGGCAGUGUAAUGUCAGUGCUAUCUCUGCUCUCACCCCUCCAGCACUUUCAUAUCCUGCCGUGGUAACGCAAAGGAUUAAAGCAAAGAUGGGAGUGCUGAUGGAAGGGAGUGGUGUUGAUCUCAUCUCGUGUGCUGGUCCCACACUCCGCACCCAUUACAAUGAAAGAUCUUGUUCUGCAAGCACCACGGCUGAAAUAAAGAGGAAUUACUUGUUUGUAGCUUGGUGGAGAGGGAGAAGUCCUUGUCUCUGCUUGAGAAAUUGCACUGGGAGCUCAAAUGAGCCAAAUUUCCUUCAAUUUAGAGACAAUGCAAAGUGAUGGAUGGGUGACCGUCAUGGUGCUACAGCAGGU